GAUGAACGCUGGCGGCGUGCCUAAUACAUGCAAGUCGAGCGAACAGACGAGGAGCUUGCUCCUCUGACGUUAGCGGCGGACGGGUGAGUAACACGUGGAUAACCUACCUAUAAGACUGGGAUAACUUCGGGAAACCGGAGCUAAUACCGGAUAACAUGUUGAACCGCAUGGUUCAACAGUGAAAGACGGUCUUGCUGUCACUUAUAGAUGGAUCCGCGCCGCAUUAGCUAGUUGGUAAGGUAACGGCUUACCGAGGCAACGAUGCGUAGCCGACCUGAGAGGGUGAUCGGCCACACUGGAACUGAGACACGGUCCAGACUCCUACGGGAGGCAGCAGUAGGGAAUCUUCCGCAAUGGGCGAAAGCCUGACGGAGCAACGCCGCGUGAGUGAUGAAGGUCUUCGGAUCGUAAAACUCUGUUAUUAGGGAAGAACAAAUGUGUAAGUAACUAUGCACGUCUUGACGGUACCUAAUCAGAAAGCCACGGCUAACUACGUG
RNAcentral lists this ribosomal RNA (497 nucleotides) under uncultured bacterium. Its description in RNAcentral is "partial 16S ribosomal RNA". It matches the Rfam family "Bacterial small subunit ribosomal RNA", at positions 28 to 507 of the family's 1533-position model. The record is from RNAcentral.